GUAAAAGCUACUAAGAGCUCACGGGGGAUGCCUUGGCGUUGAAUGCCGAAGAAGGACGUGGGACACUGCGAAAAGCCGGGGGGAGCUGUGAACGAGCGCCGAUCCCCGGAUGUCCGAAUGGAGAAAUCCGGCUGAGCGAACCUCAGUCAUCGACAUAUGAAUAUAUAGUAUGUCGAGGGGAACCCGGUGAACUGAAACAUCUAAGUAACCGGAGGAAAAGAGAGGAUUCCCUGAGUAGUGGCGAGCGAAAGGGGAAGAGCCCAAACCGAUAUGCAGGGAUGCAUAUCGGGGUAGUAGGAUCAGCGAGAAGUGAAAAAAGCGAAGCAGAAGCAGAAGGGCGUGGGAAAGUCCGGCAGAGAGGGUGAGACCCCCGUAAGCGAAACUGCGGAGACACGAGCUGACACCUGAGUAGUGCCGUGCACGCUAAUACGGCAUGAAGCUNGGAAGACCACUUCCCAAGGCUAAA
This 466-nucleotide ribosomal RNA is filed under the name Chloroflexi bacterium human oral taxon HOT-439. RNAcentral's name for it is "bacterial LSU rRNA". It matches the Rfam family "Bacterial large subunit ribosomal RNA", at positions 1 to 470 of the family's 2925-position model. Lineage: Bacteria; Bacillati; Chloroflexota. The record is from RNAcentral.